This 355-nucleotide ribosomal RNA is filed under the name uncultured bacterium. RNAcentral's name for it is "bacterial SSU rRNA". It matches the Rfam family "Bacterial small subunit ribosomal RNA", at positions 8 to 353 of the family's 1533-position model. The record is from RNAcentral.
AGAGUUUGAUCCUGGCUCAGGAUGAACGCUAGCUACAGGCUUAACACAUGCAAGUCGAGGGAACGAUAUUGGAAGCUUGCUUCCGAUAGGCGUCGACCGGCGUACGGGUGAGUAACGCGUAUCCAACCUGCCCACCACGUUGGGAUAACCUUGACGAAAGUAAGACUAAUACCCAAUGACGUCUCUAGAAGACAUCUGAAAGAGAUUAAAGAUUUAUCGGUGAUGGAUGGGGAUGCGUCUGAUUAGCUUGUUGGCGGGGUAACGGCCCACCAAGGCGACUAUCAGUAGGGGUUCUGAGAGGAAGGCCCCCCACAUUGGAACUGAGACACGGUCCAAACUCCUACGGGAGGCAGCA